This is a long non-coding RNA of Apis florea (little honeybee), 208 nucleotides long. NCBI's taxonomy places the organism in Eukaryota, Metazoa, Arthropoda, Insecta, Hymenoptera, Apidae. The record is from RefSeq and is a predicted model, not a curated record.
AGAAUGUUGUUCGUACUUGUAUGAUUACAAUAUUUGGAAUUACUUUUGGAGUGUUUUAUUUCGAAAUUCACAUCUUAUUUAUCUUUCGUUUAUAAAAAUUAAGCAGGCAUUGACAUUCAUUUGACAUUCGAUUCUUUUCAAUUUGUCAUUUUUAAUACAUUUCAAGACGCAUAAAUUUUAUCAAAUUUUUUUAUAAUAAUAUUUAAUU